UAUCUUUCUGCAAACCUUAUUUAUUAUCUCACUUUUACCCUCUCUUUUAGAAAUGAAGAAACUGAAGUAGCUUGUUCACAGUGAGGAUUCUAACUCAGGCUGCCUGGCUCUAAGCCUACACUCUGGAUUGUUAGUGGACAGAAGUCACGUGAUGGUCAAGGUAUGUGUGGCCUUUUCUGUGAGUGUCCUUCACUGACCUCAUGGUCCAAGUCUUUAAUCCGACUGAACUCAUCUGUGUGUCACUGACAACCAGGCCUGUAACAUCCCACCAGGAGCCACCAGAAGCUGGCAGAGAUUCUCAUCUUUUGGGUUGCUAUUGGAAAGUGAGAAAAAGUAGCAGAUGGAGAAGAAAAACAAACUGACUGACCUGAAAAUGGAUGAAAC
Long non-coding RNA from Bos indicus x Bos taurus (hybrid cattle), 384 nucleotides. The record is from Ensembl. NCBI's taxonomy places the organism in Eukaryota, Metazoa, Chordata, Mammalia, Artiodactyla, Bovidae.